RNAcentral lists this non-coding RNA (25 nucleotides) under Mus musculus (house mouse). Lineage: Eukaryota; Metazoa; Chordata; Mammalia; Rodentia; Muridae. The record is from RNAcentral.
UGAGGAACUUGGGCGCAUCCACGUG